GUAAAGCAACACUUCUACCUACUGUUCUCCAGGAUAGUCCAUGUUGCAGCUGAUCUGGAAAAAUACUUUUCUUAUACACUGGGAGGGAAGGGAAGGGAGCUUCCAUGCACACAAGUCUUGAAGAAGCUCUCAAGGUUAUGCCUGAAAUCUUUUCAAGCUUUCUGACUAUAUCAGUUGGUCUAAUGCAAGUUAGUCUUUACCUCCCUUGCUAGGGUUAGACAACUUUCCUGCAAAGCUCGCAAGAACUGAAAAAUACCUCAUUCAUUGGAGGAGAGGGGGAGCUGCAUCUAGCAAAUGCACAGCUUUAUGACCAGCAAGACAACAUCAAGCAGUUUAUUGCAGACUCUGUUUAUGCCUUGCAAGAGUGCAACCUAGUACGCCCAUGUGCAUGCUUUGUUUUCAGCACCAACUCUGGAAGCGAUUUUGAAUCUCAUUUCAUUUUAGUUGAAUCUAUGUUCUCUUUGUUGUCUGUCUGUGAAUCUGUACUGAAAAAAAAGUUAAAUUUGGACUAAUGUUGUUUUCCCUGUUUAAAAAGGCAUUGGAUUUAUUUUAGAUUAGUUCAAACUCUUUUACGUCCCUGUUUCUUUCUUAACCCUUCAAUGCCGACUUCAUACUGUUAAGGUAAACCAUGCCAUUUCAAGGGAAGGCAGGGGAAAAAAACUUAGCUACAUGAAAGUGAAGAUUCAGCUCUAAAAGACAGGAAAGAUAUUUGGCCAUAUUAACUUCAGUGUGAAUUCAAUGGAUAAUCCCCUUGUAUGAUAACUGAGGUGUUUCAUUGGUAAAUGAGGUCACCAGGAUGCACGUGUGAGUAUCUGUAGCAGUCUGGAAGACUUAGCUGUCACUGACAGAAGCAAUGUUGCACAGUCUCUCCUGUCUUUCUCUGCCUGUACAACGUCACAUCUCUAGAGCUGAGCCUUUUGAUCUAAUUAGAUCCCUAUUCAGGGAGCUUGUCUGGUUUAACCUUUUAAUGAUACCUGAGAAAACACAUGUCUGUGGUGGCUCUUUUUUUCUUAACUUGUAUACAGUUGAUGGAAGGGACUAGCUUAAUAAGUGUUUGCUUGUAAAAUAUUACCACUAGAUACUUUUUCCUUCUAAUUUACUCCUUGAUCCUGAUAUAACUGUAGUUGCUAAAAAUGUUUGGAAAUUAUGAAACUUGGUACCAUUUUAUGUGGAGGGUGUGAACCACUGGUGGGUUCAAUGUCCCAGUUUAGCUGAGUUCUGAGCCUCUUGCCUGUUUUUAUUAUGUGCAUGACCAUUCUUUCAUCAGAAAAAUCCUUCUAUCAGGUCUUGCUCCAGUUUUGGAAAUGAAUCAGAGAAAGGGCUAUUCUGCUGAGAGAGAGUUGGUGUCUACAACUGUUUUUACUAUUUUUUAUAGUGUGCAUCAAAGUCUGUAGGCUAAAAUCCUAGCCCAUGGAGCAGAGGGGAAAGAAACUCAGCGAUAUUUUUCUCCCUGUUGUCCAGGAGAACUAAACUCCUCCAAGUAGGAGGAGUUCUGUAGUCAUGGGAAGUGCAGCUGGCCUGGAGGUCAGGGAACAGCAGCUCUCAAUGAUACACCUUUUUCACAAUGGUAGUUCCUGAUUGUAACUGCUCCAGGGAAUUACAGAGGUUUGGCUUUUAGGAAAAGUCACUGAACAAUCAGGUAUUUUACAUGGUGCUGACAGAAUUCUGAAACUGGCUGUUUUGUUCAAAUGUCUGUUAAUAUCACUUAAUAAAUGAGAUCUUUUGUUAUUAACUGCCUGAUCACAAUUACUGAAAUUUGUGAUGUUAGCCAAAUCCACCAAUGUGCAAUUUAGCUUUCACUGCAGUAUCAAUUACAGCUGCUGCUUAUGUUCAUUGUUGCCAUUCAUGUUCAUGGAAUGCUUUAAUAAAGGGAAUAGAGAAGGGUUUUAUCGUGUGCUUUCCUGUUGUAUACAAAAAUAGAUGAUACAAUUUCACCAAUUUUGUUUCACUUUAAAAUAGCUUCCGGAAAUAGUGGCCUAUGAGGGAAUAGGGCUGAUUGACUCAUUCGUUGUGCAUAAUUUAUCCUGAAAAAUUUGCAUUUUUGUACAUGUAUUAUCCAUGGAGAAAAGAAUUUACAUUCAUCUAUUUGUUAUUCAUAAUCUGGCAUUAAAUAGUUUAUGAAUUGCUGUCUGAA
Molecule: non-coding RNA, 2134 nt
Organism: Anas platyrhynchos (mallard)
Lineage: Eukaryota; Metazoa; Chordata; Aves; Anseriformes; Anatidae
Source: RefSeq, a predicted model, not a curated record